GAAAUGCGAUAAGUAAUGCGAAUUGCAGAUUUCAGUGAAUCAUCGAAGCUUUGAACGCACAUUGCACCCGCCAGCACUCUGGCGGGCAUGCCUGUUCGAGCGUCAUUUCAACCAUCAAGCCCCGGGCUUGUGUUGGGGACCUGCGGCUGCCCGCCGGCCCGGAAAAACAGUGGCGGGCUCACUGCCACCCCGAGCGUAGUAGUCUUAUCUCGCUGAGGGCGUGCUGCGGGUUCCGGGCGUUAAACCCCCCCAUACCCCAAGGUUGACCUCGGAUCAGGUAGGAAUACCCGCUGAACUUAA
Molecule: unclassified non-coding RNA, 300 nt
Filed under: uncultured Sordariales
Lineage: Eukaryota; Fungi; Ascomycota; Sordariomycetes; Sordariales
Description: sequence contains ITS1
Rfam family: 5.8S ribosomal RNA (bases 1-105)
Source: RNAcentral